This 253-nucleotide ribosomal RNA is filed under the name uncultured bacterium. RNAcentral describes it as "partial 16S ribosomal RNA". It matches the Rfam family "Bacterial small subunit ribosomal RNA", at positions 524 to 776 of the family's 1533-position model. The record is from RNAcentral.
GACGUAGGGUCCGAGCGUUGUCCGGAGUUACUGGGCGUAAAGGGCGCGUAGGCGGUUCCAUGCGUCCCACGUGAAAGCCCCUGGCUCAACCAGGGAGGGUCGUGGGAAACGGGGGAACUGGAGGCAGAGAGAGGCUGGUGGAAUUCCCGGAGUAGUGGUGAAAUGCGCAGAUAUCAGGAGGAACACCGGUGGCGAAGGCGGGUCUCUGGGCCGAUACUGACGCUGAGGAGCGAAAGCGUGGGGAGCGAACAGG